This is a long non-coding RNA of Harpia harpyja (harpy eagle), 610 nucleotides long. RefSeq lists it as uncharacterized. The record is from RefSeq and is a predicted model, not a curated record. Lineage: Eukaryota; Metazoa; Chordata; Aves; Accipitriformes; Accipitridae. The transcript has 2 exons.
GAUUGCUAACUGCAAAGCACACUGAGCAGAAGGGUCCACACAGCAUCGCUGAUGGUGGGAUUUCUGUGGCUGGGUCCGUGAAAAGCCAUAAAGCUGAGAGCGUUACCCUUGGCCUUAGUUUUAUGAUGUCUUAUAAUAAUCUGGCUGUGGUUUUUAUCUUUUAUUUGUCUUAACUUAUUGCUUCCUUUGGAAACAACAUGUGACCUCACUUUUGAUGACUGUUUUCUGACUGGAAAAGAAAUGGAGCCAGGGAGAAUAUCUCCCUCGCAUGCAGGGAGAAGACUUUGCCAAAAACAGGAGGCAGUGAAAACAUGAGGCUGCAAGAUCUUACUGUUGCAUUUGCAUUUGUACACCAAGACUGGAAAUCCCCCUGCACCUGAUGUUCUCUGCAAGUCAUUGCACCAUCCAUCCCACACUAGGCUCUGAGUAAAAUGAGAGUGUACCAAGCACAGGACACAGCCUGGGAAACAGCAUCUUGUCUGGCUGCAGUACUCGAGCUCCUCCAGGCCCAAGGCUGUAAAAUUGGAACUACUUUUUUUUUCCAGUUGCAAUAGUAUUAGGCUUUUUCCCAAACGUCACAUGUAAAUAAAGGAAAUCAAAUUGUUUCUAA